Callithrix jacchus (white-tufted-ear marmoset) is the source of this 1689-nucleotide long non-coding RNA. Lineage: Eukaryota; Metazoa; Chordata; Mammalia; Primates; Cebidae. The record is from Ensembl.
AAUGGCUUCAGGUCUAGUCAAAGAGAUAUAAACAUAAGUGCUGCAUGAGAUCUCCAGGAAGGUCUCUUAAGAGAGAAGGGAUGGACUUUAAGUUUCUCCUUUCCUUCUGUGCAGCACAUUGGAUGUGAUUGUUAGAACUCUACCAGCCAUCUUGAACCAUAGCAUGAUCUUGAAAAUGGAAGCCCACAUACUAAAGAUGGUGGUGAGGAAGAUUAGAACCUGGCUGUCUGAAGAUACUGUAAAGUUGGCCUGGCAUGCCAGUCAUGAAAAGUUAAAAGCACAAAAAGUAUUCCUGUCCAUACGUGGAGAAAAUAUGGGAACUAUGAAUAUGUACACUUCUCAUCUUGUUUUGCCUCUCCCAAGACCAAUUCUGAAUGGAAGUAAAACAGAAACUGAAAGGUACUAGCUACUGCAAUAAGUAAGAAAAAGAAAUAAAAGGCAUCUGGAUUGGGAAAGAAGAAAUAUAACAGCCUCCAUUCACAAAUAACAUGACAGUCUACAUUAAAAAUCCUAAGAAAUCUAUAAAACAGCUACUAGAACUGAUGGGUAAGUUUCAAAAGAUCACUGGGGACAAAGUCAAUAUAUAAAAAUCAAUUAUUUCAACAUACUGGCAAUAAAAAAUUAGAAACAAAUUAAAUAAAACAGUGCCUUUUACAAUAACAUUAAAAUAUGAAAUACUUUGUGAGAUAUCUAACAAAAUAUAUAUAAGAUUUGGCCGUUAAGAACUAUAGAACAAUUUUCAUAGAUUGGAAAAAUCAAUGCUGUUAAGUAGCUAAUUCUCUCCAAAAAUGUUCUGUAGAUUUGAAGUAAUCCCAGUUAAAAUACCAGCACACUUUUUCAUGGAAAAUCAAUAAAAAAGCUGAUUAUAAAGCCUGAAUGGGAAAACCAAAGAAAGAAUAGCACUCCCCACCAAAAAAUAGAAAAUAUCAAAAUUCAUGAGCCCAAUUUUGACAGUGAGACAAAGGGAAAAGACAAACAAAAAGAUCAAUGGAACAGACUAAAUGAACAGUCCAGAAAGAGACCCACACAUAUAUGGUAAAGAGACUUGCAACAAAGUUUCCAGUCAAUUCAAUAAAGAAAGUGAUAUUUUCAGUAAGUGUUAUUAGAAUAAUUGGACAGCUGUACACAAAUAAAACCUCAACCCAUAUAUCACAUCAUGAAUGAAAAAGGAUCACAGACUUAAAACUGUAACAUUUUGGGGGGGAAAAUGCAUAAGAAAAAAUCUUACUGUCCUUGGGUUAGGUGAAGAUUUCUUAAUGUAAUAAGCAGAAACCAUAGAAAAGUGAUACAUAGGACUUCAUCAAGAUCAAAUUUCUCUACUCUUUGAAAGACUUUGAAAAGGAAUGAAAAGACAAGCCAUAAGCUGAGAUAAAAUAUUUUCAGAGCACCUAUCUGAUAAAAAAGAAAAAAAAAACUUGCAUUCAGAAUAUAUAAAAAACUUUCACAACCAAAUAGGCAAACAAACAAGCAAAACAAGAUUUGAAUGCCUGAGAAGAUAAACGGACAGAAAAUAAGCUCAUGAAAAGAAACUCAGCAUCAUUAGUCAUGAGAGAACUGAAAAUUAAAUCUGCAAAGAGAUACCACUACAUAUUUAGGAUAGCUGUUUUUCUGUUUUUGUAAAGAAAAAAAAUCUGACAACACCAACUGCUAGCCAGUAUACAAAGCAACCAGAACUCUCAUAUAUUAUUG